This is an RNA transcript of Cercocebus atys (sooty mangabey), 5359 nucleotides long. Lineage: Eukaryota; Metazoa; Chordata; Mammalia; Primates; Cercopithecidae. The record is from RefSeq and is a predicted model, not a curated record.
CUUUCUCUCUCUUCCUCUUUACAUCUUCUAAUAGUUUUUAAAGGGAAAAGUCCUCCAGUAACCUUUCUGGGGCAGACUAUCUGAAUUCUGGGAACAGGUUAGGGGAGGUAAGAUGAGAAUCUCACAGCUCAAGGUAUAAACUUUUUACUCCCCUGCAAUCAGUCUGCUGCCCAUUCUUGUGUCUGGGUCCAGAACUUCUUAGGUCAGUUUUUCCAGAAAACAAACCUCUGGUCUCUAGUAAGGGCAAGGCAGAGUUAGGCUGUGCUUUUUUCCCUCAAUGACCAAGAUAUCUAAUUUGCUUUGCUGCUUUUUUCACCUCUUUGCUCUGCUUCAGUUUCCCUUGUUGGCUCCUUAUUUUAUAUAUACACAAUAAGGAUUGAUGUUUCCCAUAUCUCUAUCAAAAGCCAUGUUCUUGCUCUACAAGCUGGCUCUGGUUAUUUCAUCUACACCCAGAUGCUGAUGACUCCCAAACUUCUAUCACCAACUGUGUAUCCAUCUUUAUAGUGUGUAUUUCCAAAUCAGCUUGUCCAAAAACCAUUUUCAAUACUGCCCCGUCUUCCUCCAAAUCUUCUCCUUCUCUUAUUAUUCUCCAUCUCAACAGGGAUAUCCUGACCCAUUCCGUCUCUCAAGCUAGAAACCUGGUAGCCAUCUAUGCUUCUCCUUCUCCUUCUGCCCUCAUUCAGCAAGUCCUGCUUAUUCACUAACAUCUCUAGCAGCUGAUUCCUCCUCUCCAUUUCCCCUACUAUGGCCUAAAUUGAGGGUUUUAACUACUUUUCAUCUGGGUUACUCUGAUACCCUCCUAAUUGGUCUUGUAAUCUCCAGUCUCAAAACUCUAGGAUUCAUUUUUCAUUCUUGCAGUUUUCCAAAGUGCAAGUUGAUCAUAUCAUAUCAUAUCAAAUCAUAUCAUAUCAUAAUCAUCUCUAUUUGAAAACCCCCCAAAAGUUCCUCAUUACUCACAGAAUACAAUGCUAUGUACUUGAGGCACUCUGUGACUGGGCUCUACUUCUCCAUUCUUCUGAGCACCUUUCCCUUCCCUUGGCAGGACCCCCACACUCCAGGCUUAAAUAAUUGCUUGACUGUCAGGCCAUGCCACCCUUCCUUGACUUGCUCAAUUUGUUCCUUCUCCCUGAAUUGCCCUUUCUCCUAUUUUUCUUUUGGCAGAUGUGUCCUCUGUUCAAAGACUAUUUUAUGAACAUUACCUCUUCUAGGAAGAUAAACAAUUAUUUCAGAAUCUAUCCUGGGGUUUAAAGGCCUGUCCACUGCUGUAGAAAGCUUGGCACUCACUGUAGAUAAACAAAACUAGCAGCUGAAAAAUGGCAGAAAGUUGGGCAAGCAAGAGCUAUUUCUGAUUCCUCUCUUUGCAACACAAACCAGUAGGAAUGACAUGGAAGCAGCUAACAAGUCCUGUGUGAGAACAUGCAGGUAAUGAGGUGGCAGAAUUACAGGAAGUCCAGGUACUGUCAUUUCUGGGUGGUGAAAGUUACUUCUAUUUCCCUCCAAAGGCACAACAGCAGGUGAUGGAUGCAAAACAGCCAGGAGUCCUGGACUGGGGAGUUCUCACCUCAGAAGCCACCAUGCCUGCGAAGAAAGGGGCCUGAGAGCUUUCUGUGAAGUAUAAACACACAGUACAUGCAUGAGUUACAAAUGGCCCUUUCCUCACCCUUUCCGACUCCCCCAGCUGAACACAAAGGCACUUCAAGAAUGAGGUUUCAGGGGUUUGUCUCAUGCUCUUCAAGUUCAUGAAGGACCCUCAAAAUAGGAUUAGAGGCUCUCAUUUUAAAGGACCAACCACCACCAAAAAGCAGGAUUUAGAUUUAGGAUAGAUAUUAGGGUGAAUAUCCAGAGAAGAAGGGCUGCUGAAAAAUGGACUCGAUACCUGAGAGAACUGAAAACCAUGAGACUGGAGCCAUACUCUUUUCUACCACCAAAAGGUUGUGUAACCUUUGGCAUAUCACCCUACCUUGGCCUAUGAUUUAGCAUGGAGCUAUAAUUUUUUAUGAUUCUGGCAUUCUCCCUUAGAGUCGUAAUAUAAUAUGCUUCACUAUUGUUUAGCAAGCACCUUACAAGAUCCUGCUACAAUGCUUUUCCUAAGAUCUAAUGAUUAAUUACUUAUCUGGUAAAAGUACUUUUGGCCUCUCUACUUCUGCUAAUGCUACAUAUAUGCAAAAUCACAGAACUGGUUAGAACUGAAGUAGACCUUAGAGAUCAAGAGGAUAAUUAUCUAUUACUAAAGAAGGCAAACAGCAACAAACCCUUUUAAAAAAAGCCCUGAGGCAUACAGAUGUCUAACCAUCUUAUUAAUGAUAAGACCAGGACCAAAAAAUCAGUUCUUCAGUUUCUCCUAGUACGUUAUUCAUUAUUUCAUAUGAUGAAACUACUUCAAGUGAGUAAAGUGUACAUGCAUACAUAGAUUGAAACACUCAUACUCGCUGGGUCAAAAUAAUACUGCUAAAUGAUUUUGAGCUACUAAGAUAUUUAUAUAGAAACUAUGUGAAAAAGUUCUCGUAAUAAUAUUUUGAAUAUUGUUGUCCUCAUUUAAAAAGUGCAGUGACCUCAGUUUUCACACAUAAUGUUAUUUUGCAUGCUAUUCUGUGACUAGCCAUAGACUUAGAACAACCUAGGUAUUUACCAUCUGUGUUUAAAAGAGUAGAACCCACUUCCGGCGUAGCCACGGCGGCUAACGCUACUACCAACCCAUCACAGCUGCUGCCAUUAGAGCUUAUGGACAAAUGUAUAGGAUCAAGAAUUCACAUUGUGAUGAAGAGUGAUAAGGAAAUUGUUGGUACUCUUCUAGGAUUUGAUGACUUUGUCAAUAUGGUACUGGAAGAUGUCACUGAGUUUGAAAUCACACCAUAAGGAAGAAGGAUUACUAAAUUAGACCAGAUUUUGCUAAAUGGAAAUAAUAUAACAAUGCUGGUUCCUGGAGGAGAAGGACUUGAAGUGUGAAUGAGUUUCCUUGACUUAUGCUAGAUUCUGUUUUGUCUCUUAAUGACAAGAAAAUGGAAUUUUUUUUCCCCCACCUUCUAAUGUUUAAAUCCCAUAAAGCUAAGUUUCCCGUUAAAGGGAAGUGCUUUGAAGGUGUGUACCCAUUUUUGUAAGUUAAUCAUGAUUAUCCUGGAAAAAGAAGAAAAGAGCUUCUUCUUUGAAGACAAGAAUAAAGGUGUUUUUGGUAAAAAAAAAAAAAAAAAAAAAAAGUAGAACCUCCGCAUGCUUUGUUCAAAUACUUUCCUAUUUUUCCAUUACUUAGUUUUUAUUUAUAGUUAACGUUGCAUAUGGGAACUAAUUCAAAUUCGCUUGUAUCUGUAAAACAGCAAUCUAUGCUGGAGAUAAGAAAUUAGCUUGCCAAAAAAGAAUUUAUCAGUUAUGACUGUGAUUAUUGGUGACUUCUGCAUCCUGGGGAGGUAAGGGGAUAAUUUGGGCUGAUGGUAGAGUGGGAAAUCUGCUGGAAGGAAGCAAACAAACUAUUAGGUGGUUGAGAACUCCCAAGAGAGUUUGUAUCAUCUGGUUCAAAAGUUUCCUAGAGCAAAUGACAGAACCUAUUAGCGGAAGUAUUUUUAAUUAGCUGAUCUGAAUCCAAAAGAGGAAUACAAGUCCAAAUCAAGAGAGGAAGUUUCUUGAACUUCCUAUUUAAAACAGAUGUUUUAACAGAACUCUGAUUAAUUUCUGAAUGUGAUAAUAACAGGAUUGAACCCUGAAGCAGUUUAUGAAAAUGAGAAACUUAAAAGUAAAUCAUAUCUAAGUACUUCUAAACGGUAUAUAGAAUGCAGGGCAUUUUUGCACUGGACAAGUUGUUCUGAGGCCAGUAGGUUCAAAGCUGAUGUUUGGUAGUUGGUCGGGGGAGGGGAAGAAUAGCAAGCUCUAACCUGGUACCUCUAGGCAGAGCCCCUGGUGGGUAGGGGGCCACAGAACAUGGGAAGCAGGCUAUAUAUAGGCAAACUGAUGCAAAAUCCAAGAGGACAUGUUUUUGUUCUGUAACUUGGUGUACAGCUUCCUAUGGAUAAAGCAGUCCUCCUUUGCUGAUGUAACAUCUUGUUAUAAGUUGAAUUUCUGGUAUGUUUUGUCUUUAGUAUGUGAACUUAGAGGCUAGUUAUUAAAGUGAUGUGGCCUUAUUUGCUAGAGAAGAAUGUUUUGUUUGUUUGUUUUUAAUUUAGAGCUCAAGUGUUCCUUUGCAGUGUUUGGCAGUGUAUAAACAUGAAUUACUUGGGAGGGAGGUAUUGGUUUUUUAGGGAGUACAUCUUUCCCACUCUACAGCCAAGGAGACCUCCUGGGAGGAAACAGAAUUCUAAUUUGUUGUGAGGUUGCCUCACUCUGCACUCAGGAGACAUCCUCCCCCAAAUGCCUCCCCAAAUCCUCUCUCAUGCAUACAGCUUUGGAUCUCAAGUCAUAUGACUGGCUAGUAGUUUUGGGAUACCACCCAAGGAGGAUAAAUAUUUAGUAAGCUCAGAAAUCAAGUGUAAUUAGGAAUUGAUAACAUGUUGAACUUCCUUUCCAGGAAGUUAUCCAAUAGCUAGUGUACUAAAAGACUUAAUAAAAACUAUACCAUUUCACAAUAAUGUCGUAAUAACAAAUAAUGUAUUUAAUGUGUUACCUAAAGUUUUCUUAAAGAAAAAAACAUCAAGGUAACACUAGAGAGAAACAUAUAGGGGAAAUUGUCUCUAAGUACACUUUACAAGCCACUAAUGUCAAAAAUAUAUAAAAACUCAGUGUCUCAUAUGUAUAUGUUCAUUGAAAUUUAGAGUUUUUUAAACUUUCAAUUAGGAAAAAAAGGAAAUUAUGUUACUAAACAUCUUCAUAUCAGAGGGCCCCAAAUUUAAGUGCUUUGUUAUUUUGAGUUUGCUGACAGAGGUGGUAAAUAUCUAUGGUCUUUGGUUCCAAUCUGCCUAUAAAGUGCUCUCCAAAUCACUAUUGUCAGAAAAGUGGUAUCUGUAAGAAGAAAAAUUAUGAUACUUGUGCAAAAUUAUGAUCUGUAAGAAGAAAAGUUAUGAAAAAUUAUACCUGAUUUUACUGAGGUUAUUUUAGAGGCCCCAAAUGACCUAUAUUUGAAUCUUGUUCUGGGAUGAAAUGAAGACAGUAGGAGAUGGAAUAAAAUUUGCUCAUUGAAUCUGUAAUUUCAUAAGAUUUACAACAUUAUUUUAUUGUACUAUAUAUAAAAAGACAGGAAGAGACUUGGGAAAUCAAGUGUCUCUUUUUUUUACAUAAAGAAUGGCAUUAAUCCCCAAAGCACUAAUUUUUAAAAAUGUAUUUAAUUUUUUUUUGCUGGCAACAUGGACUGCAUGUACCUCAGACAAUUUUACUGUAUAAUGAGUUACUUCAAAAUGCAAUGGCUGAAAGCAAUAUAUUUUUUUUGAGACUGAGUCUC